Molecule: ribosomal RNA, 642 nt
Filed under: uncultured bacterium
Lineage: Bacteria
Description: bacterial SSU rRNA
Rfam family: Bacterial small subunit ribosomal RNA
Source: RNAcentral
GAUCAGGGGGAUAGCCCGAAGAAAUUCGGAUUAACACCGCAUAAAAACACAGUACAGCAUUGUACAAUGUUCAAAUAUUAAUAGGAUCAGGAUGGGCAUGCGUGACAUUAGUUAGUUGGCGGGGUAACGGCCCACCAAGACCACGAUGUCUAGGGGAUCUGAGAGGAUGACCCCCCACACUGGUACUGAGACACGGACCAGACUCCUACGGGAGGCAGCAGUAAGGAAUAUUGGUCAAUGGGGGCAACCCUGAACCAGCCAUGCCGCGUGCAGGAAGACCGCCCUCUGGGUCGUAAACUGCUUUUAUUCGGGAAUAAACCUUUCUACGUGUAGGAAGCUGAAUGUACCGAAGGAAUAAGGAUCGGCUAACUCCGUGCCAGCAGCCGCGGUAAUACGGAGGAUCCAAGCGUUAUCCGGAUUUAUUGGGUUUAAAGGGUGCGUAGGCGGCUAUUUAAGUCAGGGGUGAAAGACGUUAGCUCAACUAACGCAGUGCCCUUGAUACUGAAGAGCUUGAAUGGACUAGAGGUAGGCGGAAUGUGACAAGUAGCGGUGAAAUGCAUAGAUAUGUCACAGAACACCGAUUGCGAAGGCAGCUUACUAUGGUUUAAUUGACGCUGAGGCACGAAAGCGUGGGGAUCAAAC